CCUACGGGAGGCAGCAGUGAGGAAUAUUGGUCAAUGGCCGCAGGGCUGAACCAGCCAAGUCGCGUGAGGGAUGACGGUCCUAUGGAUUGUAAACCUCUUUUGUCAGGGAGCAAAGGGCGCCACGUGUGGCGCUUUGCGAGUACCUGAAGAAAAAGCAUCGGCUAACCCCGUGCCAGCAGCCGCGGUAAUACGGAGGAUGCGAGCGUUAUCCGGAUUUAUUGGGUUUAAAGGGUGCGCAGGCGGAAUGUCAAGUCAGCGGUAAAAUUUCGGGGCUCAACCCCGUCGUGCCGUUGAAACUGGCGUUCUUGAGUGAGCGAGAAGUAUGCGGAAUGCGUGGUGUAGCGGUGAAAUGCAUAGAUAUCACGCAGAACUCCGAUUGCGAAGGCAGCAUACCGGCGCUCAACUGACGCUCAUGCACGAAAGCGUGGGUAUCGAACAGGAUUAGAUACCCCGGUAGUC
Molecule: ribosomal RNA, 459 nt
Filed under: uncultured bacterium
Lineage: Bacteria
Description: partial 16S ribosomal RNA
Rfam family: Bacterial small subunit ribosomal RNA
Source: RNAcentral